Molecule: non-coding RNA, 25 nt
Filed under: Rattus norvegicus (Norway rat)
Lineage: Eukaryota; Metazoa; Chordata; Mammalia; Rodentia; Muridae
Source: RNAcentral
AUGAGUAAAGGCCGCCUUCCUUGGG